GACGAACGCUGGCGGCGUGCUUAACACAUGCAAGUCGAACGAUGAAGCCUUUCGGGGUGGAUUAGUGGCGAACGGGUGAGUAACACGUGGGCAAUCUGCCCUUCACUCUGGGACAAGCCCUGGAAACGGGGUCUAAUACCGGAUAAUACUCUUGCGGGCAUCUGUGAGGGUUGAAAGCUCCGGCGGUGAAGGAUGAGCCCGCGGCCUAUCAGCUUGUUGGUGAGGUAGGGCUCACCAAGGCGACGACGGGUAGCCGGCCUGAGAGGGCGACCGGCCACACUGGGACUGAGACGACGGCCCAGACUCCUACGGGAGGCAGCAGUGGGGAAUAUUGCACAAUGGGCGGAAGCCUGAUGCAGCGACGCCGCGUGAGGGAUGACGGCCUGG
This 387-nucleotide ribosomal RNA is filed under the name uncultured bacterium. Its description in RNAcentral is "bacterial SSU rRNA". It matches the Rfam family "Bacterial small subunit ribosomal RNA", at positions 28 to 419 of the family's 1533-position model. The record is from RNAcentral.